GCAGGCGAGCGCGGUCAGCGGGUGCGGCAAGAGCUCUCCGCGGGGAAAGCAGCGAGGAGGGAACAUAAAGUCACAGCGCGAAGCCAGGGUUGUUUUUGGAAGAGGAAAGAUGUAAUCGACAAUCUGCUGUAAUGUGCGAGUUGGCCAGGAAGCGUUCGCCACCUCUCCUUUUGAUGGUGCUCCACAGUGCAGAAAGGGACAAAAGGCUCCUUGGUCUCCAAAUGGAAAACAGUGACCACAAGACUCCAGCUGAGUGGCUCAGGCAUUCGUUCGUGAGGAGCCUCAGUUCCAGUCUCUGCUCCAGCCUCCCUGGAUGUGAGGAGUUUCCGGGUUUUGUCCAGAACUCUGCCACGCAAGUACAACGUCCGGCCUGAGCUUAAAGAGUUGUGAGAGGAGCACCUGAGUGUCAUUGGUCGGAAUAAUCCUCCACGCGUCUGGAAGCAGCGAGAACACCGAGCCGCCGGAGAGCAGGCCAAGGCUGGUCGCCCUCCGUGAUGGGCAGCAGCGGAAAACCUUCAGCAGAAAGCGAAGAGUGAGGACAAACGUGAGAGGAAUCCACGGUGAGCAUCCGCAGAGCCUGCACCAUUGUCUCGUGGUUACACCACUGUGUGCAUCACUCGCCGGCCUCUUCGCAUCAGGUACAAAUCCAGCGUUUUGUCUGGGGUUCAUCACUAGCUAUAAGAAAGUUUUCUGCAUCCUGACUUUGGCACUGAGCUUUGUUUGGGGCGGGGGGAGGGUUGGGGUGGAAAGCCUCUCCUGCUACCAAAUUGUCUAUUCUAGGUCGAAAUCUGUGUUGCAGCUGAAAUGCUGACAAAAGCACAGAAUACAGAGCUGCUAAUACAAUGCUAUAGCAGCAAUUUGGUUUGCUAUCACACAGUAAAUAAGAGCUACCUGAUAUUCUUUGAUCAGCCUCUUUUCUUUCUGUUAUAAACUGAAUGUGUUGACAAAUUAUGUCACCAAAAAGAAAUUCAAGUCUUUGAUGAAAUAAGAGGAAACAUGCACAUGCUGGAAGCUUUGAAAUGUGCUUAAAUAGAAUGGAAUGUGCUUUUUGCAUAGCUGCUGUCUUGCUCGAGGUGCCUGACAAAAGCUGGGUCAGGAUCUAGGCAACUCCCGGCCAACGUCCUCCUGCUGCAGGCCAGGAGCAGCCGCUGCGCGCUCCAAAGCAAUCCCCACUUGAGACAAGUGGUUUUAACCAGACCACGGGAGUUAUAGCCAGAUGUUGCUCAUUCUGCCAUAGGCUUUUUAACAGGCGCUUGGCACAGGUUCUAUACGUAGGUAGAAACGAAUGCUGCUUUAGAAGAAAGGCACCUCUGACAGAACCGCACUGUGCAAUGUCGAGUGGCGGUGAGGAAUUGGGAAGGUGUGAGAUUUGGAUCCGUGGCUUUCCGAUGAGCUGUGCAAAACUUCAGUAAUAACAUAACAGAGGUGCUUGAGGGGUUUGGCAAAGCUUAAUCGGAGUGCAAUUCGAGGCUUCAGUGAACUGUUUCCCAAAAUGUUACACAGAUCAAAUACUGCAGAAGACCCACUGAAAUGGAAACCGAAAGGCUUCCCCACCUCUGCUUUUUGAAAAACCUGAAGGUGCCAAGUCCAGUGAGGUAGCCUAGACAAGGAUGAGGUAUAAAGUUAGAGCGUAGACUGGGAUCUGAAUUUUUGCAGAGUCUGGAGCCACUUAGAGCCAAACUUUUAGUUUGCUCCAUGACAGAAUACGCGGCUGCCCCUUGCGUUCUCCCUGCUCCGAGCUUUCCUGAAGUGUAGGAAGAGCGAAGCUGGAGCUCUUAGUGAAGCCAUUUUUAGUUCCGAUGUAAAUAAAUCGCUCUGCAGACAAGCCCUCUGAAAGCUG
RNAcentral lists this long non-coding RNA (1840 nucleotides) under Struthio camelus australis. Its description in RNAcentral is "lncRNA (ENSSCUG00000002656.1)". Lineage: Eukaryota; Metazoa; Chordata; Aves; Struthioniformes; Struthionidae. The record is from RNAcentral.